AGGUAGUGGUGAUGAAUAGCUGGACAAGAUAAUUAUCCUUAUUGUUGAUUGGGUGCCAUAGCUGUCCAUGGCCCUAUACAGCUGGCACCAGGGAAAUGCCAUGUUGAAGUUUGGUGCCAACCCACAAUAGACCCUGGUUCUCUCUCCUCAACCCUGGUGAUGGGAAAUGGAAUUCCCUGAUUAAAUUCUCUCCAGCCUCUUGGUCAGUGGAGGGGUAAGGCCCAGAGUCAGGAUGGGAGUUGCAGGUGGAGGGUGACUGCCGCAGCGGGGGAGCUGCCAGAUUUCUGGGCAACCGUUGGAUCUGCAGGUCUGUCCUUGGCCUGCCUCUGAUCUCUAGAGAGGAGAGCAUCCCAGCAGGGUGAUCCGAGAGGAAAGAGCCUGCAACUUCGCCAACCUCCCAGCUGCAAGCUAGGUGCUUGCCACGCGCCCUCGUCUUGCGUCAGCGAGUUCCAAGUCCCUCGUGGCGUGAACUCCGUACCCCAGCACUGGAGAGGAGUGCCGGGCGCAGGAUCAAACACGGAGCCGAGUGUCAGGCGCCGGCGUUUGAUUCUGAAAGGCUCCUUUGAUGGCCAGAGAGAGGGAGAAUCAGUCUGCACUUAGCUCCUUCUCAUCCUCUGUAUCUCAGGUCACUCGCUCUUGCCCCGGA
RNAcentral lists this long non-coding RNA (646 nucleotides) under Chrysemys picta bellii (western painted turtle). RNAcentral describes it as "lncRNA (ENSCPBG00000019338.1)". Lineage: Eukaryota; Metazoa; Chordata; Testudines; Emydidae. The record is from RNAcentral.